GGCGGCGGCCUAACACAUGCAAGUCGAGCGCGUGUAGCAAUACACGAGCGGCAGACGGGAGAGUAACACGUGGGAACGUACCCUUCGGUUCGGAAUAACCCAGGGAAACUUGGACUAAUACCGGAUACGUCCNAAAGGAGAAAGAUUUAUCGCCGAAGGAUCGGCCCGCGGCUGAUUAGCUAGUUGGUGAGGUAACGGCUCACCAANGCGACGAUCGGUAGCUGGUCUGAGAGGAUGAUCAGCCUCACUGGGACUGAGACACGGCCCAGACUCCUACGGGAGGCAGCAGUGGGGAAUAUUGGACAAUGGGCGCAAGCCUGAUCCAGCCAUGCCGCGUGGGUGAUGAAGGCCCUANGGUUGUAAANCCCUUUCGGCGGGGAAGAUAAUGACGGUACCCGCACAAGAAGCCCCGGCUAACUUCGUGCCAGCAGCCGCGGGUAAUACGAA
This 447-nucleotide ribosomal RNA is filed under the name uncultured bacterium. Its description in RNAcentral is "bacterial SSU rRNA". It matches the Rfam family "Bacterial small subunit ribosomal RNA", at positions 38 to 529 of the family's 1533-position model. The record is from RNAcentral.